GUGCGAGCGUUGUCCGGAAUUACUGGGCGUAAAGGGCUCGUAGGUGGUUUGUCGCGUCGUCUGUGAAAUUCCGGGGCUUAACUCCGGGCGUGCAGGCGAUACGGGCAUAACUUGAGUACUGUAGGGGUAACUGGAAUUCCUGGUGUAGCGGUGAAAUGCGCAGAUAUCAGGAGGAACACCGAUGGCGAAGGCAGGUUACUGGGCAGUUACUGACGCUGAGGAGCGAAAGCAUGGGUAGCGAACAGGAUUAGAUACCCUGGUAGUCCAUGCCGUAAACGGUGGGCGCUAGGUGUGAGGGUCUUUUCACGACUUUCGUGCCGUAGCUAACGCAUUAAGCGCCCCGCCUGGGGAGUACGGCCGCAAGGCUAAAACUCAAAGGAAUUGACGGGGGCCCGCACAAGCGGCGGAGCAUGUGGAUUAAUUCGAUGCAACGCGAAGAACCUUACCUGGGCUUGACAUACACCGGAUUGGGCUAGAGAUAGUCUUUCCCUUUGUGGCUGGUGUACAGGUGGUGCAUGGUUGUCGUCAGCUCGUGUCGUGAGAUGUUGGGUUAAGUCCCGCAACGAGCGCAACCCUUGUCUUAUGUUGCCAGCAUUUGGUUGGGGACUCAUGAGAGACUGCCGGGGUCAACUCGGAGGAAGGUGGGGAUGACGUCAAAUCAUCAUGCCCCUUAUGUCCAGGGCUUCACACAUGCUACAAUGGUCGGUACAACGCGCAGCGACACUGUGAGGUGGAGCGAAUCGCUGAAAGCCGGCCUUAGUUCGGAUUGGGGUCUGCAACUCGACCCCAUGAAGUCGGAGUCGCUAGUAAUCGCAGAUCAGCAAUGCUG
This 829-nucleotide ribosomal RNA is filed under the name uncultured bacterium. RNAcentral describes it as "bacterial SSU rRNA". It matches the Rfam family "Bacterial small subunit ribosomal RNA", at positions 532 to 1359 of the family's 1533-position model. The record is from RNAcentral.